RNAcentral lists this ribosomal RNA (543 nucleotides) under Triticum aestivum (bread wheat). RNAcentral describes it as "partial small subunit ribosomal RNA". The record is from RNAcentral. Lineage: Eukaryota; Viridiplantae; Streptophyta; Magnoliopsida; Poales; Poaceae.
AUGCAGAGCGGGAGAUCAGCGCUGCCGCGCCUGAGCCCGUCGUCGAGCUCCUCAUUCCUGCGUGGGCUGGGCCUGGACAUCUCGUCAUCGUCGCCGGCGUCGAUGUCGUCAGGUCAGCAUCAACAACAGCACCACCACCACCAGGAGCCCAUGCAAAUGCAGUUCCCGGAGGGGUCGCUGCAGCAAUGGCUGCCGCGGUUGGAGCCCGAGCCAGCUCCGAUGAUGUCAACCGGGCUGGGCCCCGGGUUACCAUACGACUCUACCGGCGGUCCGAUGGGGUUGCCGGAGCUCAUGAUGGGCCAGUCAUCACUGUUCAGCGCCAAGCCGGCCACGCUGGACUUCUUGGGGCUCGGGAUGAGCCCCACCGGCCCAACGACGAGCAGGGGCCUCCCCGUGCUCAUGCAGCCCAUGGGCGGCCCGGACCGGCAGCGGGGCAGCGGAGACGUUCGGCUCCGGCCAGGGCGCUCAGGCCAAGCCGUGGGAGAGGAACCCGAGCAGCUCGCCGAUCCUGUGAAAGGACUGCUGGGCAGUAGUAACACGUAG